AUGGCGUCCGCCGUGCCGUGGAAGCCGCUGUACUGGCAGCGCAUCCGCGACGCCUCCGUUCUCGCCGACGCCGCCCGCGACCGCCUCGCCGCCGUGGCCCUCGACCUCGUCCCUUUGCCUCCCCGGGCCGUCGACGUCGCUCACGCAGUCUCCCUGAUCGGGGACUGCGAGGAGAAGCUAGCCGAGGCCGGCAAGUUUCUCGGGUUCCUGCUGUCUUCGCUGGGGACCGUGGAGAUCCUGGCGCUUAGGCGGAUGUGGAGCGACGACGCGUUGGAGCAGCAGCUCCGGCCGAGGGCGCGCCAGGCCAGCGCGAGUGCCGGCGCGGCCUACGACGACGUGGCCUCUUCCCGCGGCCACCUCGGAGCAGCGCGUCGCCUUCUCGCUCCAGGCGACCUCCUCCGGCCCCACGUCGACCGGCAGGUCCUCGCCGCCGCCAGGGACGUCGCCGCGGCUGUCGAGCAGCUCCACGGGGUGGAGGCCGCGCUACGUACCGGCGGCGACCUGGCUCUGCCGCGCGCCCUGCUGCCCCGGAGCGCCGACCCCAUCACCCGCACAGCCGAGGCCGCGGCGCACCCCGGCGCCAAGAGGCCGAGGGAGCACGGCGACGCGUGGAGGGCCGUCGCACGCUCCGUCCCCGCCACGCUCCUGCAGGCGUGCGCCCACCUCCCCGAGCUCGAGGCUGCGCACGCCGAGCUCGCCCGCUGCGCCGACGCCCUCGAGACGUCCACGUCCGAGAGGGCGGUGGUCCUUGCCUUCGUCGCGGCGCACACCGCAUUGUCGCGCGUUCUCGCCGCCUUUGCGGGGGCGAACACCGCCUUCUUCCUCUCCACGUCCCAGCUCGGCCUCAACGAUGGCGGGCCCCGGUGGCGAUCUUUGGAGGUCUCGCGCGCCGAUGCCGAGCGCCACGGCCGCGCGGCCCUGGACCUGCUCUGGUCCGCGUCUGCCUGCUUGGAUUACCUCUUCGCCGGCGUCCUCGCAUGGUCCGACUUCAAGUCUAGGGAGGCCGACGAGCUUUUGCGCCGAUCCGUCGCGGAGGCCGGCGAGGCGGUCGACGCCGCCAACUCCAUGUGCGCUGCAGGCGGCCGCAUCUUCCUCAGCUCGUGCACAAUCAUAGGUACAGCCGUUGUGCCCACCAGUAGGCGUUUUUUGGCCUUCUAG
This 1158-nucleotide ribosomal RNA is filed under the name Triticum aestivum (bread wheat). RNAcentral describes it as "partial small subunit ribosomal RNA". Lineage: Eukaryota; Viridiplantae; Streptophyta; Magnoliopsida; Poales; Poaceae. The record is from RNAcentral.